Molecule: ribosomal RNA, 433 nt
Filed under: uncultured bacterium
Lineage: Bacteria
Description: partial 16S ribosomal RNA
Rfam family: Bacterial small subunit ribosomal RNA
Source: RNAcentral
AACGAACGCUGGCGGCAUGCCUAACACAUGCAAGUCGAACGAUACCUUCGGGUCUAUUUGCGAACGGGUGCGUAACGCGUGGGAACCUUCCCUUAGGUUCGGACUAACUCUCCGAAAGGGGCGCUAAUACCGAAUAAUGGCUUCGAACCAAAGAUUUAUCGGCUUGGGAGGGGGCCGCGUGGGAUUAGCUAUUUGGUAGGGUAAAAGUCUACCAAGGCGACGAUACAUAGCUGGUCUGGGAGAAUGACCAGCCACACUGGGGGUGGGACACGGCCCGGACUCCUACGGGAGGCAGCAGUGGGGAAUAUUGGACAAUGGGCGAGAGACUGAUCCAGCAAUGCCGCGUGAGUGAUGAAGGACUUAGGGUUGUAAAGCUCUUUUAACCGGGCUGAUAGUGACAGUACCGGGCGAAUAAGCGACGGCUAACUCCGUG